AUUAUUUUAAGAUUAUUUUUUAUUGUUGAAAAAAUUAAAAAUAAAUUGUUUUUAACAAAAAUUAAAAUUUAUAAUAUUUCAUUUUUUGGUUUUUUGUUUUAAAUUAAAAUAAUAAAUAUGGGGGAAAAAAAAAUUUUGUUAUAAAUUAUAUUAGUUUAUUUUAAUUAAAAAUAUUUUUUAUUAAAUUUGUUUUUUUUAUUUUUUUAUAAAAAAUAUUAAUUUAAUUAUUAUUAUUGAGUUUAAUUUAGUUAUUUUUAAAAAAAUUUUGUAUAAAAUAAAUUUGAUAAUAAAUGUUUUUUAAAUUCUUUGGGGGUUUAGUUUAUGAUUUUUUGUUUCUGCUCAUUGUUAAAUAAAAGCACUUUUAGCGUGAUGGCCAAAAGGAAAA
RNAcentral lists this ribosomal RNA (385 nucleotides) under Meloidogyne enterolobii. RNAcentral describes it as "partial 16S ribosomal RNA". The record is from RNAcentral. Lineage: Eukaryota; Metazoa; Nematoda; Chromadorea; Rhabditida; Meloidogynidae.